This is a long non-coding RNA of Myiozetetes cayanensis, 5010 nucleotides long. RefSeq lists it as uncharacterized. The record is from RefSeq and is a predicted model, not a curated record. The transcript has 5 exons. Lineage: Eukaryota; Metazoa; Chordata; Aves; Passeriformes; Tyrannidae.
AUGUGCCAGCUCUCCUGCUGGAGCUUUUCUAUGGAAUAUUUGAACACAAAGAGUAAACUGAAGUCAGGUCUGCUCUGGAGCGUGCAAAACUUGUGCAAAACUCUUUCCCCCUGUUUAUUUUCUGUCCUGGAAAGCAGAGGCUGGGGUUCCUGGGCACUUCCUAUUAAAUGAUACCAUGAAACAAAUUUUGUGCAGAAAGGGGAAAGGAGCUGUCUGUGAGAGGUCAUCUGGCCAUGACAAAAGUUUUCUGCAUUUUCACUCAGUAAGGUCUUAAAAUAUCUUAGUGUGUAGGAAUGCCUGGCUUCUAAAACUCACCAGCUGAGUCUUAGAGGCUUCUUUGCCGAGCUGUUUUGAGGCAGCCAAAUUGGCCCCAGGCAGGGACUCUGCGCCUGCUAUCCUGGUGUGCCCAGGGAUCUCUGGGCCUUCACGCCGGCACCGAGAUGUUCUCGGGAAGGCCCUCAGAUCCCCGGAGCAGUCUGGGACACGGGCAAGAUCCCCUUGCAUUUCGGGGGCAGAUUGGGCCCCCCUGGAGGGACAGUGCUGUUGCUGCCCCCCGGGCUGGGACACUCGGAGAACUCCAGCGCGCACCGAAAUUGUUCUUCGGGGAGCUCCUCUGGGUGCCCCAAGCUGGGGAGCUCAAAGCAAGGUCCCUGGAAUGGAUUCAGGCAUUCCUGAGAGUAUCAGAGGUGUAGCUGUCUGUCCUGGCCAUGGAGCUCUGGAAUGGACUGUAACUGGGUUCUAAAAGUGGUGCUCCAGCUGCAAAAGAAGUGUGGGAUUGGGAUAAAGGAAUGAGUGGUGAUGGUACCGUUGGCUGUUUUCUCUUCAGUGGAAUUGUGAGAGCUGCAGGAGUGCAAGGUGUGGGUUCCAGUCCCCAGCAUUUGGUUUGCACAUGUGUUAGUCAGACACAGGUCCAGCUUAAUUAGUCCUUAACAAAGGCAGAAUUAAGGACUGGCUUAAUUAACCAAUUAAUUAACCAAUCACUAUUAAGGUGAUGGGUGGGACAAGGGUUUAACUGGGAAAACAAGGAGUAAUUCCUCAGUUGUUUAUUUGCCAAGCUCCCCUAAACCUUUGCUAGGAAGAGAUUGAUUGGGAAAGUUGAGGCAGAAAUCAAAUUGAACAAUGGAGAGAUUGAAAUUGUAAUUCCUGCAACUAACUGUGUGAGAGCAGCAGCUCUUCUCGUGCAGGAAAUAACUCCUGUCAGCAGCACCGUCCUGACUGAAGUGGCAGAAGAUGGAGUUGUUCCUGUGGUGUGGGCCAGUGGAAUUCCAGGAGAAUGGACAAGGGCAGACCCUGUAGGUAUUCCCAUGAAGCUGAGAUCUCUCUAGAAUGUGACUGCAAGAACCUGCAAAGAAACCCAGUGGCAAAGAGGAUGGAUCAGUGCAGGACGUGAGAGAAGCACCUGAAAUGACAAAGUUGAGCAGCUGACAGUCUUAGAUUUCAAGAUGCCCUUUGCUGCAUCUCCUGGAGCAAGGCAAGCCAAGAAACCUUUGCUUUUGAAGGAGAAAAUGCAGAAAUGGGGAAGGAAGACAAGAAGCCACCUGAGUCCUCCGUGAGCCACAGGCAGUCCAUGAAGUGCCUUCCUGGGAAUGGUAGGACGGUGAGGACUCUGGAUUGCUCCCCAUGGAUGUGUGGAUCUGCCCUGCAGAAACUCCCGGAAUUGACGGUGACGCCCCGACCGAUGGAUUGGACGCCCCAGCCCGUCCGUUCCUGCCCAGCCGUUGGGUCCCUGUCAGGCGGUGGGACUCCCAGCCUGUCCAGGGGGCUGUGGCGUGGAAACUGCCCAGAGCUGAGCCAGAGGAUUGACAGGGACUAACCCAGCGAGGUGAAGAAACAAGGAAGAAGGGAAAUGAGGCAGCAGCCAAGCAGCACCAAGUUCCUCUGUCAGCAGGUGAGUUGUUUUGAGGCUCCUAAGGCAGACACUCGGGACUUUGGAUGCUCCAGACAGAGAAGACCUCCAAGGCCCCUUGAUGAAGCCCCUCAGAAACCUUAUCGGGGUAGGUGUGUAUGGUUGUAAGUGCUGGGGAAUGUCCUGAGCGUGGAACAGGAACGCAGGGAACAAAAUGAACCCUCACGGAAUGCUGAGUCCUCCCAUCAGCUGCAGCGGAGGCACCUCUGUGUGCACUGUGGGAGCUGAUGGCCAGGACCCCCGGUGGGCUGGGAUCAGUGCAGGGUGUUGUCAGCAAGGAAUGCCUGGCUUCUAAAACUCACCAGCUGAGUCUUAGAGGCUUCUUUGCCAAGCUGUUUUGAGGCAGCCAAAUUGGCCCCAGGCAGGGACUCUGCGCCUGCUCUCCUGAUGUUCCGAGGGAUCUCUGGGCCUUCACGCCGGCACCGAGAUGUUCUCGGGAAGGCCCUCAGAUCCCCGGAGCAGUCUGGGACACGGGCAAGAUCCCCCUGCAUUUCGGGGGCAGAUUGGGCCCCCCUGGAGGGACAGUGCUGUUGCUGCCCCCCGGGCUGGGACACUCGGAGAACUCCAGCGCGCACCGAAAUUGUUCUUCGGGGAGCUCCUCUGGGUGCCCCAAGCUGGGGAGCUGAAAGCAAGGUCCCUGGAAUGGAUUCAGGCAUUCCUGAGAGUAUCAGAGGUGUAGCUGUCUGUCCUGGCCAUGGAGCUCCGGAAUGGACUGUAACUGGGUUCUAAAAGUGGUGCUUUGACUGUAAAAGGAAUCUGGGAUUGGAAUUAAGGAAUGAGUGGUGAUGGUACCGUUGGCUGUUUUCUCUUGAAUGCAGUUGUGAGAGCUGCAGGAGUGCAAGGUGUGGGUUCCAGUCCCCACCGUUUGGUUUGCACGUGUCCUGGUCAGACACAGGUCCAGCUUCCUCAGUCCUUAACACAACCGAGGGAGAAUUAGGGGAUGGCACUGGGAAGGUGGUUGGUGUGACAGAGGUGAAAGUGGGAAACGUUGGCUAAUUCCUCAGUUUGUCUAUUUGCCAAAAAUACCAAAACCUCUGCCAGGCAGAGAUUGGUUGGAAAAGUUGAGGCAGAAAUUAAAUUGGAAAAUGGGUGAUGGGCAGUUGGGCUGCAUGAGCUGGGAGCCUCUGGGAUCAGAUUGGACUGGGCAGACAGGGAGCAGUUUGUCCCGUGGAGUUGGGCUGGGUUUGUUCAGGAUGCCUUUGGAGGCAGGGCUGGAGAGGCUCCUUUGUUGGCUGUAGUGGUGGAAAGUUGUCCCAGGAGGGCUGGAGCCCUUCGACCUCCUGCUCCCCCCGUGAGCCCCGACGGGACCGUGCACUUGGCAAUGGAGGGCCCCCCAUUGCUGAGUCAGCGGUUCCGGGGGCCGGCAGGAAUGGGAUCAGGAUGCCGAGCUCCAGCCAAGGCAGGGCAGGAAAUGGUGCAGCCACUGAAAGAAGCGAAGGCAGAGUGAGAUGAAGGCCAAGCUCCAGCACAAGGGUGGGUGAGAAAAGCCCAUGGCCCUCAGGUGGAGCUUUGAAUUCCUUGGAAAAAUGCAUCUUGUCAAAGGGCUCAGGCCCUUGUGGGUGCUGGAGCAGAGGCCUCUUCAACUGAUGGUCAGCCUAAAAAGGUGCAAGGACAGCAAGUUUUGACGAUAGGAUGAGGUGGCAAACAAAGUGAGGUGGUACAGAGAAAAGCUGAGCUUCAGAUUGGUCCUCUGCCACAGCAGCCUUGUGGAGUGCUUAUUGCUGUGCCUGACUGUGGAAGGGCAGUGGAUAUUUCCAAGGGCUGCCUUGUGCUGAGGAACACUGGGGUCAGUUCCUUUUCCCUGGGCAGGACAGGCAGGGCAUGUUUACCUGGCCCCCUCAAGGGUGGCUGGAUAAGGCUUGAUCACCAAAUGCAAAGAGUAAAUAGAGGGGGUCCAUUGGUGACCUUUGGGCAUCAGGUAGAACAACUCACUGCUCACCUCUGGGGGGACAUAUUUACAGCAUUCUCACCAUCUGAUAGGAAGUUUUGGAACACUUUAUUCCAUCCAUUAAUCAUAGUAAUUACACUGAUUUUAUGAACAAUAGGGAGUUGUUGUCUAUGGUAUCAACUCCAGGAAGUUGUUUCUUGCACGCCUCUGUCCUGACCAGGGAUCAAAGGACCAAAGGGAAAGGAUGAGAAGUUCCCUGAGAGUUGCUGCCCAGGGGCUGCUGCCCCUGAGGAACAGGGUGAAGGCUGUCUGUGCUCAGGUGCCCUGGCUGAAGUGUGCAGUUGGUGUGAGUGUUGCUGCAGAAAGGCAGGCCAGGUGUGUGCAGCUGUUCUGUGCCCUCCACCCUCGGCCCUUAGCCACAGUUCUGUCUCUUGGGGCAGUCAGGAUUUGAUGCCUUGCUCAUUUUCUUUUUUAUCCCAUAAAUCUGUAUCUGAUGUGUUGGAUUGUCUUUGUUUAAACUGUUCCUAUUAUUCUAUGACCGGUGAGUCGUUUCCUUGAGUGCCCUGCCUGUCAGCACAACACCAGGUCUGUUCAGCAGCUGGAGACUGGGCAGGUUUGGGGGCUGUGGUGUCCCAGCUCCCUUUGCCAUCCCUGCUGAAGGGUGGGAACUGCACAGAGCCAGCAGCGUCCAGCUGGAGGAUCCAGGAGGAUGCAGCUCUGCUGUUCUGGGAGGGACCCUGAGCUGGUCCAACUGUGGCAAGAAGAACAAGUGGGCCGUGAAGGUUUGGAGCAGUCUGGAAGGUUCCUCGUGCCCAAAGGAUCCUGGCAAGUGAAGUCCUGGAAGAGUAUGGAAUAUUGAAAAGUGCCUCAGUUCUCCUGAAGCUCAACUUUCUAAAAUAUCCAUGAAGAUAAAAUUCCUCUCCAAGGAGCUGUUGGGUCCCAAAUCCUCUUGGAGGGAGAGGCAGAAACUCCCACUGCUGCUGGGGCUGAACUGCUUGCAGUGCCCAGGUAGGACUUGGCCCUGAUGUCUGAGUGCUCUCCAGUCCCCCAGGAUGGAUCCCAACUGUCAGCCCCUGGCUCCAUAACUUGAGGAGAGGGUGUUCCUGCAAGCCCAGCUGCUGUGCUGGUGGUCCUGUGUGCACCUCUUGCCCUGGCCUGCUGUGAAUGUAUUUGUGUUGCAGCUCAGUAAAGUCCCAAUAAAGUGGUGAUUGUGUGA